This 254-nucleotide ribosomal RNA is filed under the name uncultured bacterium. RNAcentral's name for it is "partial 16S ribosomal RNA". It matches the Rfam family "Bacterial small subunit ribosomal RNA", at positions 524 to 776 of the family's 1533-position model. The record is from RNAcentral.
UACAGAGGUCCCGAGCGUUGUUCGGAUUCAUUGGGCGUAAAGGGUGCGUAGGCGGCGGGGCAAGUCUGAUGUGAAAUCCCGGGGCUCAACCCCCGGAACUGCAUUGGAUACUGCCUUGCUUGAGUACUGGAGAGGGAACUGGAAUUUACGGUGUAGCAGUGAAAUGCGUAGAGAUCGUAAGGAAGGCCAGUGGCGAAGGCGGGUCUCUGGACAGUUCCUGACGCUGAGGCACGAAGGUCAGGGGAGCAAACGGG